GAUGAACGCUGGCGGCGUGCUUAACACAUGCAAGUCGAACGAAGCAUUUAGGACAGAUUACUUCGGUUUGAAGUUCUUUAUGACUGAGUGGCGGACGGGUGAGUAACGCGUGGGUAACCUGCCUUGUACUGGGUGAUAGCAGCUGGAAACGGCUGGUAAUACCGCAUAAGCGCACAAUGUUGCAUGACAUGGUGUGAAAAACUCCGGUGGUAUAAGAUGGACCCGCGUCUGAUUAGCUAGUUGGUGAGAUAACAGCCCACCAAGGCGACGAUCAGUAGCCGACCUGAGAGGGGGACCGGCUACAUUGGGAAUGAGACACGGCCCAGACUCCUACGGGAGGAAGCAGUGGGGAAUAUUGCACAAUGGAGGAAAAUCUGAUGCAGCGACGCCGCGUGAGUGAAGAAGUAAUUCGUUAUGUAAAGCUCUAUCAGCAGGGAAGAUAGUGACGGUACCUGACGAAGAAGCACCGGCUAAAUACGUG
Molecule: ribosomal RNA, 481 nt
Filed under: uncultured bacterium
Lineage: Bacteria
Description: partial 16S ribosomal RNA
Rfam family: Bacterial small subunit ribosomal RNA
Source: RNAcentral